AUGCCAUCAAGCACAUACAACAGUGUCCGUUCCCUGCCAUCACCAAUUCCACCUUUAUGGACACUUCAAUCGAUACGAUUUCAAACGGCGCUCUUGAUUUCGGCGGCUUGUGUGGUUUUUGGACUAAUGCGGACUUGUUUUGGGAUGGCUAUGGUUGAUAUUGUUAGGAGCGGAAAUGGAACAUUUCACCCAGAUUUACAUAUGGAAUGGAGUGGAGAUGAGCAAGCAAAUAUUCAUACUUCUUUCUAUAUUGGAGCAUUUAUUGCCGUUUUUCCAUCGGAAUUUCUUGCCAAAAAACUAGGGCCCAAGAAUCUCUUGUCAUUUGCACUUUUGCUCAAUAUAUUUGGCUCCCUUCUCACCCCAUUUUCUGCAAUUUACCUCCGUUCCUACUUUCCAGUAGCUGCAAUUCGUUUGAUAAUGGGAUUUGGUUACGGCUUCGUAAUCCCCGCUGGAAGUGUGCUCAUCUCGUCUUGGUUCCCACUUUCCGAGAAAAGCACGGCCAUGGCAAUAUUCACAACGGGAAAUCAGAUUGGAAUCGCCGUUUCCAUGUUCCUAACGGCAAAGCUUUGUCAGCUUCAUUUUUUCGAAGGGUGGCCGCUGGUUUUUAUAGUUUACGGGCUCAUUGGAGCAGUUUUCUUGGUGAUUUGGCAUGUUAGGCUAGCGGAUAAGCCAAGGGAGUCGAAAUAUAUCACAGCGACAGAGUUGACCUACAUCAAAGGCGGGAAACAGAGAAGAAACCGAGCAGAGACUAUCGUUAGAGCAACUCCUUAUAUGAAGAUUAUCCUCAACGGUUGUGUCUGCGCCAUCUGUGCGUGUUCAUUUGCUCAAAGUUUCGUCCUUGUGGCUCUGGUGACCUAUCUUCCAAAGUAUAAUCAAAUCGCGUUCAAGAUGAAUUUGACGCAUAACGGAAUUUGGUCUUCUCUUCCAUUUUUCAUCCAAAUGAUCACCAAAUUGUUGUUCGCGAUUAUUGCAGACAAGGUUAAGCAGCGAAAAGUGAAUGCAACCGCAGUUACGAAGGUCUCAAAUGCUAUUGCCAGUUUUGCCAGCGCAAUCUUCAUUGUGAUCGCCGCCUACGGCCCGUUUGACAGUGCCGAACUCGUCCAGCUGAGCAUAAUUGUAUCGAUGGCGGCGUUCUCGGCAUAUGUUCCCGGAUACAACACAUCGAUUGUUACGGUGGCUCCGCAGCGAAAAAAAAAAUCGUAACUAGAGAAAAAAUUGCAAAUUUUGCAGUUCACCGCAUUCAUUUCGUCGUAUGCUCAGCUGUACGCACAAAUUGCAUCAACACUUGCACCGAUCGUUAUCGGACGGAUUACGAGUCAUGGCACAAUUUACGAGUGGAAGUGUGCAUUUUAUAGUUUGGCCGGAGUUUUGGCAGUGACGGGGCUCAUUUUCCAAAUUUUCGGGCAUGGUACGGAAGGCGGCACGCAACGCAGCACGCAACGCUGCACGCAGCGCAGCACGCAACGCAGCACGCAACGUGACACGCAAUGAGGCACGCACCGCAGCGCGAAACGCAGCACGCAACGCGACACGCAACGCAGCACGCAACGCAGCACGCAACGCAGCACGCAACGCGAUACGCAACGCAGCACGCGACGCAGUACGCAACGCGACACGCAACGCAACACAGUUCCCUUUUUCAGGAAGAACCGAGCCUUGGGGAGAGACACCGUCAAAUGCCACGUCAGCAAGACUCUCCACUUCGGUAACAAUGUGUGAGGAUGGAAUGUGCAAGCUGACCCUUUUGGAGAAACAUAAUCACGAAUUCCGAACAGAAUCAAAAAUCUCAUCCGGGUCAGGGAAUUUGAAAAAGAAGGUACGUUGUCCACGUGGAGUACACGAUUUUGCCAAAUUUAUUUUCACAAAAAUUUGAAUUUUCCGCGGAGCCAACAAGCGGAGUGUCGUUGCAACAAAUUUCUAAAUUCCAGGUGUCACGAGUAUCGUAUGCCGGUGAGGAAAUUGUGAUACCCGGUCGGAUAGAGGAUCUCGAGAAUGACGUCAUUUAUAGUAUAGAAGAAGAACGUGAAGAUUAA
RNA transcript from Caenorhabditis elegans, 2033 nucleotides. It is a transcript of the gene named Non-coding transcript of protein-coding gene slc-17.6, with no coding region annotated. The transcript has 10 exons. NCBI's taxonomy places the organism in Eukaryota, Metazoa, Nematoda, Chromadorea, Rhabditida, Rhabditidae. The record is from RefSeq and is marked reviewed.